ACCAAACCCAAUCCAAAAAAUAGUACUGAACUUUAACCAACAUUGGUUAGAUAUCUGAAUGAGUUCAAAAUAUUGGUAUCUAGAGAACUGGAACCAAACCUGAUCAGAACCAAAAUAUUUUGGGUAUCCGAAUAUAUUUGAACAAGAUUUAUAUACUUAAAUCUAUUAAUUAUUUUCAAAAUUUACUAUCUAAAAGAAUAUACAAAAUAUAUAAGAUGUUUUAAGUUGUCCAAAAUACUUGGAAAUAUAUACAAAUAGUUAUAAGUACAUGAUUAAAAGAGCUAAAGUAUACUUAAAAUACCUAAACUACUUAAAAUAUCUAUUGAUUUCCUAUCAAAAUAUUUAAGUUAAACCAAUUUUUAUGUUAAGUUUAAGCAUUUUGGCAUACAUUAUUCAAAUUUAUAUGUUUUAUACUAUUUUUAUUUUUUUAUAUUUUGAAAAAUAUAAAGUAUAUAUGAACUUUAAUUUUGAAAAAAUAAAUAAAUAGGUUAUCUGAACCCAAACUCAAAC
This 510-nucleotide long non-coding RNA is filed under the name Brassica napus (rape). Its description in RNAcentral is "long non-coding RNA (BNAP_LNC007021)". The record is from RNAcentral. Lineage: Eukaryota; Viridiplantae; Streptophyta; Magnoliopsida; Brassicales; Brassicaceae.